AUGAACGCUGGCGGCGUGCUUAACACAUGCAAGUCGAACGAUGAAGCCCAGCUUGCUGGGUGGAUUAGUGGCGAACGGGUGAGUAACACGUGAGUAACCUGCCCUUAACUCUGGGAUAAGCCUGGGAAACUGGGUCUAAUACCGGAUAGGAGCGUCCACCGCAUGGUGGGUGUUGGAAAGAUUUAUCGGUUUUGGAUGGACUCGCGGCCUAUCAGCUUGUUGGUGAGGUAAUGGCUCACCAAGGCGACGACGGGUAGCCGGCCUGAGAGGGUGACCGGCCACACUGGGACUGAGACACGGCCCAGACUCCUACGGGAGGCAGCAGUGGGGAAUAUUGCACAAUGGGCGAAGCCUGAUGCAGCGACGCCGCGUGAGGGAUGACGGCCUUCGGGUUGUAAACCUCUUUCAGUAGGGAAGAAGCGAAAGUGACGGUACCUG
RNAcentral lists this ribosomal RNA (438 nucleotides) under Micrococcus luteus. RNAcentral's name for it is "bacterial SSU rRNA". It matches the Rfam family "Bacterial small subunit ribosomal RNA", at positions 29 to 481 of the family's 1533-position model. The record is from RNAcentral. Lineage: Bacteria; Bacillati; Actinomycetota; Actinomycetes; Micrococcales; Micrococcaceae.